RNAcentral lists this long non-coding RNA (220 nucleotides) under Lathyrus oleraceus (garden pea). RNAcentral describes it as "Pisum sativum (pea) long non-coding RNA (PSAT_LNC042400)". The record is from RNAcentral. Lineage: Eukaryota; Viridiplantae; Streptophyta; Magnoliopsida; Fabales; Fabaceae.
AUUACUCCAUAAUUGUCACUAUAACAUUGUCAUUUAAAGCUAUAACCCAUUAUUAAUUUUUUUCCCACAAUUAGAGACAAGUAAUAAAAUUUACAAAUAAAACAUCUAGAUGAAGGGUUGGAUAUGCAAAUAAGAACCUUACUGCCGUGCUACUCUAAACCGGAAGAAAUAUAAAAAAAAAUUGUUGCAAUAAAAAAAAAUAGCAAGUUACGGUCCUUUG